UUUCCUUGUGGUCAGCCGUAGGAAGCGUCUGGGAUACUAGGAAGCUGUAGGAGUAGUUGGAGAGGUGAGAUACGCCGUCGCCGUGCUUGGCCACGGCCGACCGUCAGUUCCGCCGCCCGCCGCCGUGGAGAAGGUAGCUCCGGCAAUCUCCCGGGGAGCUGCCGCCGCGCACGGGUGCGCUAUGGCAUGGAGAUGCUUUCCCAGCCUGGCCCCAUUGCCGGUAGGGCGCCGGCCGGCGAGCUGCGCCGCCCCCUGUCAUGCUCGGUUUUGGCACGAGGAGGAAGACGGUGUUGGCGCCGGGGGCCCGCCCGUUAGAAGGAGAAGGGAGGGGGGCAAAGAAAGGCCGGCCGGGGUGCCGUGGGAGUGUGAUGGGCCGGGGUCCAGCAGGCCGACGGGCCGGUUUGGCAGGUCGGAUGCCGCGAGAAAGAAAGGAAAAGAAGAUGGGCCGUUGGACCGAAACAAGAAAAGGAAAGGAGGAGAGGGAAAGAAAUCGGCCCAGUAGGCCCGACAGAAGAGAAAUGGCCGGCGGGUAGAGGGAAUAGGAGAAGAAGGUGGACCCGAGUCGCGGGCCCAGCGCGAGUGAGUGAGGGUAGAGAGGGGGUGAGUGAGCAAAGUAAGGCCGGGGGUUUUGGGGAAAAAAUUAGAUUUUCUUUUGUUAGAUUAAUAGCUUAAAUUCGUUUAUCACCUUUUAAAUCACAAAAAUUUCUAGGAGUGUCAAAAAUUAGUGAAACCAAUUUUGUUAGGAUUGUUUUAUUUUCCUUUAUGCAUUAAAAUUCUUAUACCCUAGGAAAAUUAAUAAAAACUUAGGUAUUUGUUUAAUGCCUUUUCAUUAAGGUAUUUAAAUAAAUACUUAAUCUUUAUUAAAUGUAUAAAAUAUGGAAUAAUGUUUCCAUAUUCACAAACUAUUAUUAACCCAUAGGAAAUUAGGUUUGAGACUAGAAAAUAA
Molecule: long non-coding RNA, 946 nt
Filed under: Setaria viridis
Lineage: Eukaryota; Viridiplantae; Streptophyta; Magnoliopsida; Poales; Poaceae
Description: long non-coding RNA (SVIR_LNC000750)
Source: RNAcentral